RNAcentral lists this ribosomal RNA (433 nucleotides) under uncultured bacterium. RNAcentral's name for it is "bacterial SSU rRNA". It matches the Rfam family "Bacterial small subunit ribosomal RNA", at positions 29 to 507 of the family's 1533-position model. The record is from RNAcentral.
AACGAACGCUGGCGGCAGGCUUAACACAUGCAAGUCGAACGCCCUCUUCGGAGGGAGUGGCAGACGGGUGAGUAACGCGUGGGAACGUGCCUUUCGGUUCGGAAUAACUCAGGGAAACUUGGGCUAAUACCGGAUACGCCCUUCGGGGGAAAGAUUUAUCGCCGAAAGAUCGGCCCGCGUCGGAUUAGCUUGUUGGUGAGGUAAAAGCUCACCAAGGCGACGAUCCGUAGCUGGUCUGAGAGGAUGAUCAGCCACACUGGGACUGAGACACGGCCCAGACUCCUACGGGAGGCAGCAGUGGGGAAUAUUGGACAAUGGGCGCAAGCCUGAUCCAGCCAUGCCGCGUGGGUGAAGAAGGCCCUAGGGUUGUAAACCCCUUUCAGCGGGGAAGAUAAUGACGGUACCCGCAGAAGAAGCCCCGGCUAACUCCGUG